RNAcentral lists this ribosomal RNA (244 nucleotides) under uncultured Dermocybe. RNAcentral describes it as "partial 28S ribosomal RNA". It matches the Rfam family "Eukaryotic large subunit ribosomal RNA", at positions 1 to 237 of the family's 3401-position model. Lineage: Eukaryota; Fungi; Basidiomycota; Agaricomycetes; Agaricales; Cortinariaceae. The record is from RNAcentral.
GUGACCUCAAAUCAGGUAGGACUACCCGCUGAACUUAAGCAUAUCAAUAAGCGGAGGAAAAGAAACUAACAAGGAUUCCCCUAGUAACUGCGAGUGAAGCGGGAAAAGCUCAAAUUUAAAAUCUGGCAGUCUUUGGCUGUCCGAGUUGUAAUCUAGAGAAGUGUUAUCCGCGCUGGACCGUGUACAAGUCUCCUGGAAUGGAGCGUCAUAGAGGGUGAGAAUCCCGUCUUUGACACGGACUACC